GAACAUUAUUAUGAAAUUUUGAGGGAUGAGUUACAGUAAUCGCAUGAAAUUCAAAGGAGGAGAAAGUAGGGUUUGUGUGAGCCAGAUCUGGUAUUUUAGCCAGGACACCAGGGAACCCCCUACUCUUUGCAAAUAGUAUCAUGGGAUCUUUAAUGACCACAGUGAGUCAGGAUCUCAUCCAAAAGAUAGCAUCUCCUACAGCACAGUGUCCCCGUCACUGCACUGGGGCAUUGGGGUUUAUUCGACCAGAGGGAAAGUUGCCCCCUGCUGGCCCACCAGCACCACUUCCAGCAGCAACUCAGUAUUCCCUGGUGGUCUCCCAUCCAAGUACUAACCAAGCCCACACCUGUUUAGCUUCAGCCAGUUGGCAGGAGCAGAGUGCGUGGUGGUAUGGCUGCUGUGGAAAUGAUCAGUAUUCGUUUGAAGUUUAUGUCCUUCCUGCUCAAGCAUUUUUUCCCUCCUCAGCUAUCCCUCUCUGCCCACAUUACCAGUACUAUGUACUCUCUGGAAAAACCUGCCUAAUAGAUCAGCCUUCUCCCUUUGCUUACACCUUCUUUAUUUCCUUCUACCAUAACAGGAAUAGGCAGACCCCUGUUAAGCCCAGCCAUUCGAUGAAUCAUACCCCAAACUUGCUUAACAGUGGUUUCUGUACCUAUAGUGCCACAAAACCUGUGCCAGCUCUCUUUCUUAGCCCCUUUUAUAACCCUCCUAGCCUCUGCUCACAGCCUCUUAUAUCCAAUAUCAUGGCUCUCAACUGGACUCUUUCUAAGCUGCCUAUACGCUGUUACGAGCCUGCACUGCCUCAUAACAAGCCUUCACAGCACUAUUUUCCUCUCUUUCCUGUUCCCCUUGACGUGAAUUGAUUUUUCAGCCGCUCUUUUCACUACAGAACAGAAGGACUUACUCCAUUCUUCUACACUACCCUCACUCAUACCAUCUCCCAAAUCUGCCAAUAGUUGUUCUCUAAAUUUACCCCCGUUCGCUUUUUGAAAGUUAAAUCCUCUCACAGUGCUUUCCUUCUCCACCUGCAAAAUUCUACCAAACCGACUUAAAAUGAGAAAAUGAUCACUCCCCAUGGUGUAACGCUCCAAAAGAUCCCAAUCCCUACACCUAACUAACUCAGCCGAUGCAAAAGUUAAAUCUAUACAUGACAGACUCCCAUUACCAACCUGAAAUCUUGUCGGCCUUCCGUCAUUCAACAUCACAAGCGAGUAUUUAUCCAAAAGAUCUUCUGUUAACACACCAUUCCUAUCUUUAUUUUUGCUGCCCCAUAAAGGACUGUGUGCAUUAAAAUCUCCUGCCCACACCACUGGGGGCUGCACUUGACCCAUUAUUCCAUCUAACUUCUCCAUACUUAACUGGAAACAAGGGUUAUACGGAUUUAUCACUGAGAAUCUUCCUGAUUAACUCCAUACUUCUACCACCACACACUCACGCCCUUCAACAAUAAAAGCCAGGAAUUUAAACCUACUUACCACCACUGACUCCUCUGUUACACAGGUUACCUGAGAGGGGCCCUCCCUCUCCUUCUCACCUCAUCUGCCUCACCCCAUUUUGCAGCCUUUUUAACAGUCUCAGCAUAAGACACCCCUUUAUUUGUCUCCCUAUACUGCUGCACCCUCAUUUCCUGCUUGUGUUGCUCACACUCACGACUUCCAGCAAUAUGCCCUCCACCACAACUACCACACUUAAUCUCCUUUUCCUUACAAUGAAAAAUCUCAUGCUCACCCCCACAUUUACCGCUCCUUCUAGUUCCAUGGCAAGCAGCUGCAAUAUGGCCAUACUUCUGGCACUUAAAACACCUCAAGGGUGGCCUCCUAUGUGGAUGAACUUUAAAGGACAAACAUCCUAGGAACACUCGCUCUGGAAGAGCCUCUUCCUGAAAAGUUAACACUGCAACAAUUGACUCACAUUUAGUUCCAUCACGGAAAACUCUUAUUCAAAAUGCCUCAGCAACCUUCGCACCAUCAAUGCCCCUGACCAGUUCCUCCAUAGAUGGUAAAUGCAAGACCCCAUAGAUCACUCCUUUCAUACCAGCCCUACUCCCUGGGACAAAUCCUUCCACUCGCCUCUUCCCUUUCGCAUCCAGAGAAACAGCUUUGGCCAACUGAGCAGCAGACUUACAGUAAACAAGCAGCUUUCCAUCUGCCAGAAUCCUUGCAUUUACAAUUUCAGCCAGCUCUUCCUUCAAUGCACUCGCGAGCAGACUGCCCUACCUUCAGUUUAAAGAUCACUUUAAACUCUUCUGACUGGCUGCUGUCCAUUCUCGUUAUCUUUACCUGCUCUCCCCCUCCGUCUGACUCCUGAGAUGAAUUACGAGUAGUUUUAGUUUUCCUUUUCCUGUUUUUGCUCUUACUACUUUCCCAACUCCCCCCACCUUCAUCCUCAGAUUGCAUAUUACCAGAAACAGCAGCUCAAUUUCUUUGUUUGAUUGAUUAAGACAAUAUUUAGUCGAAUUCUCGUGUUGUUUGUACGGAUCGUUAGGACUGCCAGGACUCUCUUUAUACAAGUAGCUCCUCCCCUGGCAUGAACCACCAUGCAUUAAAUCAAUUAGCUUAGAACAGCCAAACUACAAUAAAUGAACAAUACAGAAAACAUGAAACCAAUUUCAUAAGUAAUCUAUAACGUAAGAAAAGAGAAUAAAGGCACUUGAAAUGAUCUACACGCAAAUUAUAAAUAAAUACAAAAAUUCCCCCCGUAACCUGAGACUGCAAUGGUAGAUGCCAUCCACCCCCGUCUACAUUAGGUUGGUUUGUUCUGUUGCUCCAUUUGGCAGUGCAUGGAGCUGAGACAUGGAAGUGAGUACGUUUAGCAUGGUUUUAACGGUCAGUGAAAAUAGGGGUGAUGUGUUAUUCAACCAAAACAUUUAAACAGAAACAUUUACACACUAGUCAUUUGGCACAUAAACAGUAAAAAUAACACAUACAAACGCGACAUUACAAACUAGCACCAGCAGACCUUAUCUGGUA
Molecule: long non-coding RNA, 2969 nt
Organism: Anguilla rostrata (American eel)
Lineage: Eukaryota; Metazoa; Chordata; Actinopteri; Anguilliformes; Anguillidae
Exons: 2
Source: RefSeq, a predicted model, not a curated record